RNAcentral lists this ribosomal RNA (250 nucleotides) under uncultured bacterium. RNAcentral's name for it is "partial 16S ribosomal RNA". It matches the Rfam family "Bacterial small subunit ribosomal RNA", at positions 524 to 773 of the family's 1533-position model. The record is from RNAcentral.
UACGAAGGGGGCUAGCGUUGCUCGGAAUUACUGGGCGUAAAGGGCGCGUAGGCGGAUGACUAAGUCGGGGGUGAAAGCCCGGGGCUCAACCUCGGAACUGCCUUCGAUACUGGUCAUCUUGAGUACGGGAGAGGUGUGUGGAACUCCGAGUGUAGAGGUGAAAUUCGUAGAUAUUCGGAAGAACACCAGUGGCGAAGGCGACACACUGGCCCGUUACUGACGCUGAGGCGCGAAAGCGUGGGGAGCAAAC